UGGAAAGCAACAAUAUAAGGACUUGAAGAAAGCAUGAGGAACCACCUGUGAAACGUUCAAGGUCUCUGUCCCCAAAGAGCUCUUUUAGAGAGUCAGAGGAACUAAAGAAGCUUAAAAUAGCUGAAAGGAAGAUUGAAAACUUAGAGAAGACACUACAGCUAAAGAGCUGUGAUCGCUGGAGUAGCCUAGAGGAGAUAAUCCUGGCUUUAACUGGAAAGGUCUCAAAACCAAGAGGAGCUCUUCCCUUUGAGUUUUCUCAUCUGUUUUAGGUUCUAAAUGUUUUGAAGGAGCAGAGCAAGUGAUAAGGGAAGGCAGUAACUGUAACAGAAUGGAUAAUAGAACAGGUAAGCAAUAAUGAAAAAUCCAGAUUCAUAAAUAGGAAAGGCCAAAUUCUACAGUUGGUUGCAUCUCUGAAAGGGCAUUGACACUAAUAAGCUUCUGAGGAUUUAUAUUAAAGACAUUGUUUUCUAGUACCCUGCCAGACUUGACCAGUUUUUGCUAGCAAUAUCAAAAAAUCUCAGAACAGUUGU
This 530-nucleotide long non-coding RNA is filed under the name Lonchura striata (white-rumped munia). Its description in RNAcentral is "domestica (Bengalese finch) lncRNA (ENSLSDG00000001582.1)". The record is from RNAcentral. Lineage: Eukaryota; Metazoa; Chordata; Aves; Passeriformes; Estrildidae.